AAACCAAAUUAUAUAUUUGGAGAACUAACGUUGGAGCGUUAGAUGAUAUGAAAAUUUUCACGAGUGCAUUUUUGCUCACUUCCUCGCGCGCCCAGAAACUCAUAGUUCAAGCAGGUGAGAAUUUUGCCUUUAUUGCUCGCGAGACGUGAGUUUGUUCGAUCGACGUCCGCACCCUGUGCGUUUUUGGCUUCGCGAGACGUGAGUUUGUUCGAUCGACGUCCGCACCCUGUGCGUUUUUGGCUUCGCGAGACGUGAGUUUGUUCGAUCGACGUCCGCACCCUGUGCGUUUUUGGCUUCGCGAGACGUGAGUUUGUUCGAUCGACGUCCGCACACUGUGCGUUUUUGGCUUCGCGAGGCAGUGAGCAAAGUGCACGCGUGAAAUUUUCCUCACCGUGGGCGCCGUGCUUAAAAAAACCUUCGUUGCUUACCAUCCAAAAUGUACCGUAGGCACUGGGAAAGUGAACGUUGAGUUUUAUUCCAUACUCUGUGCUUUAAAGUUGGUUUGCAUGUGACGUCACGCUCAUUAGCAUAACAACCCGGCGGCCAUGUUGGAGGUCUAAACACAUUCCAUGCCCCUCAAACGCGCAAAAGUUUGAUAACAAACUCAUCACAAAAAUAUUACCCAUAUGUAAGUCCACUUGAUGAUGAAGGAUUUCAGGAUGAUUUAAUUAUUAAGACAAAUGUCAGGAAUAAGUGGUUAGUCGAGGGGAUCCAAACUAACAACCAGACACCAAAACAGACGAGUUUUUUGCGAUCAUUUCAUCACUGGAUGUGAUCUUUCUCUUCUAGGAUGAAAAAAAAGAGUGUGCUGUUAUACCUCUAAAAUUAUGGGAGAAAAAUGCGACUAUGGCCUAUGAGACUAGUGGCUGGCCUAUGUAAACAACAAAGAAAAACACAAAUUCAUAGA
Molecule: long non-coding RNA, 907 nt
Organism: Nematostella vectensis (starlet sea anemone)
Lineage: Eukaryota; Metazoa; Cnidaria; Anthozoa; Actiniaria; Edwardsiidae
Exons: 2
Source: RefSeq, a predicted model, not a curated record